This 552-nucleotide long non-coding RNA is filed under the name Olea europaea subsp. europaea. Lineage: Eukaryota; Viridiplantae; Streptophyta; Magnoliopsida; Lamiales; Oleaceae. The record is from RNAcentral.
UAACAGUCUAAAUUUUCAGAUGGGACGAUUAAGAAAAAACAAUUACCAUUACUGAUGUAGUCAUCAAUAUGAACACUGGAUGUCAAAUAUUAAAACCUAAAGAAAAUACAAUAUCAGGAUACUCCACAAAAUUCAGAUUAAUGUCAACUGUUCGGAAGAACCACACGCUGCAUAGUUGUUCACAGAAAAGAAUUCAAUUCCUAAGAAACCUGUAGCCAAUAUAUCUAAUUUUCUGUUCUAUUUAUUAACACGUCCAAAUAAGCCGAUCAUCCCCUUGAAUAUGCACCCACAACAGCCAAAACAAGCAGCAUGAGAAGCUUUUCCCCUAAAUCUAGAGAAGAUGUCUACUUGUCCAAGUAUUAUGGUCGACUAAAUAUCAAUGAUAUGCAAUAUUCUUGCAUUUUCGUUAAGCUUUAUUCCUUGGUAACAAUAACAAACCAAGCCUUCCUCCUAGUAAACCCGGGCUUGUCUACAUGAAUCUUUUAUCUCCUCCGUUCUAUCCACCUCUACAUGUACAGAAAGUUCCAAAAUCAAAUCUCUGCAAUUAAAAAG